AACGAACGCUGGCGGCAUGCCUAACACAUGCAAGUCGAACGAGACCUUCGGGUCUAGUGGCGCACGGGUGCGUAACGCGUGGGAACCUGCCCUUAGGUUCGGAAUAACUCCCCGAAAGGGGUGCUAAUACCGGAUAAUGUCUUCUUACCAAAGAUUUAUCGCCUUUGGAUGGGCUCGCGUUUGAUUAGCUAGUUGGUAGGGUAAAAGCCUACCAAGGCGACGAUCCAUAGCUGGUCUGGGAGGAUGAUCAGCCACACUGGGACUGAGACACGGCCCAGACUCCUACGGGAGGCAGCAGUGAGGAAUAUUGGACAAUGGGGGAAAGCCUGAUCCAGUAAUGCCGCGUGAGUGAUGAAGGCCUGAGGGUUGUAAAGCUCUUUUACCCGAGAUGAUAAUGACAGUACCGGGAGAAUAAGCUCCGGCUAACUCCGUG
Molecule: ribosomal RNA, 433 nt
Filed under: uncultured bacterium
Lineage: Bacteria
Description: partial 16S ribosomal RNA
Rfam family: Bacterial small subunit ribosomal RNA
Source: RNAcentral